GCUGACCCUGAACUGAAGCCCCACACAUCUGCUCAUUAGCCAGGUUGGGAGCCAGCUUUGCUCUCCCUCACCUCAGCAGCUCGGUGCUCUGCGUUCAGACCCCUCGGAUGGCCUCAAGCCCUCCCGUGACGGGGCCACUGUCUGCCUCUCCUGCCUGAUCCUGUGCCCCUCCACGCCUCACCAGUCUCACAGCCACGCUGGCCUUGUGUCUCUUUGCGUGGUAAGUUCCUUCUUGCCCCAGACAGGCUGUUUCACCACCUGGAAACCACGUCCAGGCUCUGACCGGAUCAGUCCCUUCUGCCUUCCAGACCUUGGAACAGGGACCUCUCUUGUCCACUGUCCCACCCCACCUCAUCACAAAAUAAGGAUAAGAAUUCAAGUGUGCUGAUCAUUCCUUCCACAUCCUCUUAUGCUCCUGCUACAAACAAAUGGGUUUUAAACUGUGCAUUUAUGCCCUACAAGGGAGGGGUUUAUGCCAUCAGUUUUGUGAAAGGUGACAGAUACUUUUAAUAGAAUCAGAAAACAAUGGAAGAGAACAAAAGGCUUUAGAGUGUGCCUCACUCCAUAAAAAUAAGUAUUGUUGGGUGAAAUUUUAAUCCCAUUUCUGUGUGUGUGUGUCGAAUCCUGAUGCAAAAGACAUUCUGCUUCUCGGCUGAAGAUCAAAUGUGUUUGAUAGUUACUCUGUGAACCUGUAGAUCCCAUCUUUCAUCUCAUCUGUUACUGUCUAUCACGAUACCUCUCUUGUACAAUAACUGUGAGAAUCAAAUGGGUAAAUAUUCAGAAGUUGCUUAGAAGAGUUGCUGGCAUUUUGGAAGCACCAUGUGGGGUAUUAUGUAACAUUAUAUUUAUUUAUAUUUAUAUAUUUUUGUUCACUAAUUUAUCUGCAAUGCCUGUUUUAGGGCCUGGAACACUAGCCCUGUCCAUAAAGAUCGGUUGGAUAAAGAGAAAGGACCCUGUGACAUAAGCCACCUUGUGUCUUCUUCUGGGUGGGAGGAUGAGGCUUUCCCAUUAUCAAGUCUUUCCACUUCCUGCUCCACCAUGGUUCUUGACUCAGGGUCACCUGGGCAAUACAACUAUGUUUCCUUGUCUGGCAACCUCUGAGCCUUGCAUGAGAAGGUUAAGUAAAGGCAACCUAAGAUCCAGUAUGAGAACUUCAUUCAUGAGUGAAAUCACAUUUUUCUCCAUCCUCCUUCAGAAAAAUGUUUCUUUGACACCAAACUCUUGGCAGCUGCAGGAAGAGGCCAACAUGCCUAAUGUAGGCACAACUGAACUGUUCCUUCUACUCUGAGAUCUCCAUCACCCACAUCUGAGGGCAUCCAAGUGAGGGCAGUGUGGGUGAUUAGCAUUGUUAGAACUAGCCUCUCAUCCAGAAGGACGGAUUAAAUUUCCACUCGUCCAAAGUCAGGAGUAUCUCCUGAGCCUGUUAUCAUUAGAAACAAGCUAAUGGUUCCAGUUCUGAUGGUGGCUGAUGCAGGAACAAUCAUACAUACAUCACACCCCGCUUUGUUCCCAGGCCACCUUGCAGGGUAACAUAACCUCAGAACACACCACUGUCUAAAUAAGGAAAUAACUGGUGGGAAUCACAUGAAGGCAGAUUUGGAGUUAAUAUGGAACCUGAGCUGGCCAAUGGGACUGUAAUCUAUGGAACUGGCUGCUAGCAUAGUGGAGAAUGUCCAUCAUUGGAGGUGUUCGCCUGAGGACCACAUGACCACUUCCCUCCAUGAGAGCAUUUGCAGGACUCUCCACAGGGAAUUCCAAGGUCCCUUCUCUUCUUGCGUUUCCCAGUGCUACAGUCACUCCAACAACCUCAUCUUGACACUUGCCAUCCUCCUGCAAGAAUAUUGGUCUCCAACACUCAUCUGCAUGAUGUGACGGCAUCCCACGCUCUUGUCGUGCUCAGUCUUGAUUGGCUGCACCAGGUGGCUGCUGCAUUUACCCACAUUGGAGGUCAAAGGAAGGAGGCUUCACUCAUGAUGAUGUGAGGAUGUUCCAAUGCACCCUGGGCUCGAUGAAGAAAUUGGCAGUGUACUUGGAAAAAUAUCAGCCUUUUCCAGAGUGAAAAUUCAAGCGUAAAAUCUGCUUCUACACCAGAGCCUGCCACUCUUGUUUUGGGGUGGGAAUAAUUAUUAUAUCUUAGAUUUUUCUCUUUAGAAAAAAGUUCAAGUAGGAUUUGCACAAAAUUGUAAGAACAUUUUUAAAGAUUUUCUGAUGUAUAAAGAAUAUGACUUUGAAUGUGUGGAUCUGGAUAAAGGAUAUAAUUUUGUGUAGGAUGGUGACUUCAAAUGAAAAGGUAGCGUUGUUAUUUUAAAAAGGAGUGGAAUGUGCUUCAUGGAAAACCAAGCCUAUACUAGGUAGUUUACUGUUUGCAAGUUUCAUGUGUAUCAAAAACAAAUGUUUCUCAGGAAAGAAUUAUAUGUUUAUUGUUUUCACUACAGGUACAGUCUUCAGACAGCUUCCCUCGGUCACUCAGUAAAUGCUUACUGCAUAAGGAAUUACAGCAAGAAUAUUUAUGUCUAUUGCUUUUAAGUUUUUGGAAGAUGGGAGAGAUGGAGGGAUGAUUGGUGUGCAUACAUGGAUGUUCGCUAAAAUGUCCAAACUAUUUUAGGGUUUGUGGAUGGAAUUAACUCUUAUUUAAUGUUUUUUGAAAGAACUGUCAGAGAAGAGGUUGAAGAGAUUGUUUUCUUUUCACUGGGUGUUUUGUUUUGUUUUAUUUUGUUUGCAUUGCAAUUCUUAUUACAUAUAUAUAACACAAUUUUUCAUAUCUCUGUUUGUAUAUAAAGUAUGUUGACACCCAAUUUGUGUCUUCAUACAUGUACUUUGAUUAAUGACUGGGAACAUUUUAAAGAGAAGAAAUACUGAGACCUUUCUGGUUUUAUUUACUCAAAGUUAUACUGAAAUGUUAUUUCAAAUUGAAUUAAAAUUUCACAAGAAUUAGGCACAUGCUCUUGAAGACAGAUUAUGUGAAUGUGAAACAUGAUGAAAAGGGAAUGAAGAAAUGCACGAUUCAGAUUCAUGUAUUUAAAAAGGAAGGAAUUGUUUUGACCUUGAACUGGAUGUGGCACCCCUCCUGUAAAUUAAAUCCUUAGAAAUGAGCUUCUGGGAAAAUUGCAUUCUAGAAUAUGUUAAUAAAUUGUUAGAAUAUGUGAAAAGCCACAUGAACAUCAUCCCUGUCAUAUUUUUACUACGUGAGAAAUUGAAACAGGAAUUUUAAAAGCAUGCGAUUUAAACCUAACAAGCCACAUGUGAACAUAAAUAACAUAUUUUAAUAAAAAUUUAUAUUUUUCC
RNAcentral lists this long non-coding RNA (3285 nucleotides) under Marmota monax (woodchuck). Lineage: Eukaryota; Metazoa; Chordata; Mammalia; Rodentia; Sciuridae. The record is from RNAcentral.